This 331-nucleotide unclassified non-coding RNA is filed under the name soil metagenome. Its description in RNAcentral is "partial contains 5.8S ribosomal RNA, internal transcribed spacer 2, and large subunit ribosomal RNA". The stretch from base 1 to 120 matches the Rfam family "5.8S ribosomal RNA", at positions 35 to 154 of the family's 154-position model. The record is from RNAcentral.
GAUGAAGAACGCAGCGAAAUGCGAUAAGUAAUGUGAAUUGCAGAAUUCAGUGAAUCAUCGAAUCUUUGAACGCACAUUGCGCCCCCUGGUAUUCCGGGGGGCAUGCCUGUUCGAGCGUCAUUUCACCACUCAAGCCUCGCUUGGUAUAGGGCAACGCGGUCCGCCGCGUGCCUCAAAUCGACCGGCUGGGUCUUCUGUCCCCUAAGCGUUGUGGAAACUAUUCGCUAAAGGGUGUUCGGGAGGCUACGCCGUAAAACAACCCCAUUUCUAAGGUUGACCUCGGAUCAGGUAGGGAUACCCGCUGAACUUAAGCAUAUCAAUAAGCGGAGGA